AUGUGAUAUAAAACAUAUAGUCAUGAUGUUGCAGAAGUGAAGGGAACCAGGGUUGCUAAAGUAAUUGUGGUGAUAGAAAUGUAUUAGCCUCAGAAGCUACUGAGGUGGUUCAUUCUAUCCUAGUACAGUG
Myotis davidii is the source of this 130-nucleotide non-coding RNA. The record is from Rfam. Lineage: Eukaryota; Metazoa; Chordata; Mammalia; Chiroptera; Vespertilionidae.